GUAGGGAGGCUGUCCACGUCCUCAAUUAAAUCAACCAAUGAGGAGUUUCUGUUUUGCCACGUCAUCCCUAUCAAGCAUGAAUCCAAGUUUUUACGUAACCGAGCAUUCGUGGUGGGCUGAUACAAAAAGUCUAACUGACCCAAAUCAAGCCCAUCUCUUAACCCUAAAGGAUGCCGACGACAAUCAGUCGACUCUUCCAUUUCCUUAUCGUUUCAUCUAUCUGUAAAUUGACAUUAUCACCUCCACUCUUUGAUCGGUGUCUCUUUCGCAUCCAGUUGUUCCUAUUUCUAAUCGUUUUGAUGAUAUUAAUCGGUGGGGAUGUGUAUUCCAUAUCGGUGUGUUUUCUCUGAUCCCGACGUUUCAUCUGACUCGCUGAUGGCUCGAUCAUGGUAGGAAGGAUUGCUACAUCUCAAUAAGGAUAAAGUCAUUGUCCUUUAUGAGGGUUCAAUGCAUGAUAAUUUUGGAGACAAGGACUACGGUGAUUCAGAAGGAACAAUAACAAAGACACAUGAAUCUUGAUACUUUCAGAGUGAAGCAUAGCGUGAAGAUGCUAUAAGAAAUUAGGACAAGAGUCAAGGAAAGAGGAAGAAGAGGAUCAAGAGAUUGGAGCUAAUAAAGUGUUCAAGAAAGUGAGAGAAAAAUCUAAAAUCAGGAACAGUCUUACCAAACAUGGUCAUAGUCAUUACCACGAUCAUGAUCAUGAAGAAGAAUAUGACGAGAAAGAAACAGAAUGGCACAGUAAGCCAGGCGGUGUAACAGGUCAACCUGAGGCACUGAGUCAUUCCGGAGAAACUAAUUUUCGGCACAAGAGGAGAUCGUUCCACCAUGGACAAAAGUUUUUCAGUUUGUGUCUUCGGAUUAUACCAAAUCCAUUGAACUGGAGCCAUUACGAGAUGACGAGAUGAUGGAUACUUCGGAUUUGAUGAUACGCUGCCUCUUACAUCUUUCGCCAAUUCUUUGGAGUGUAACGUUUGAUGCAGGAAGAUUUAAUCUGUUCACCUAUUCUUUCAUUGGUAAUCAAGAAGCUCAUAUCCAGGUGUUCAAGUUUGAGAGUAGCCUUAGCUAUCUCAUGUUCUGCUUCAUCGAUGUCAUAGGAUGCCUGCUUAUAUAAUUCAUGGACGUGUGGAAGAAAAGCACGAAUCCGGUCGGUGCUUUGAAAUCAAGCAAGAGAAGCAAGGGCAAAACAACCAAGCAUCUCUGCAAUGAAUGACUCAGGGUUUAUGUUCGUAAAUGCUGCAAUCUUACUAUUGUGAUUAUAGAUUAUAAUUUUUUUUUUCAAACUGGAUAAUGGAACCAAGACCUAAUGUCAUACCAGAAACUAAAAUUUCUGUAACAGAUUCAUUCAAGUGAAUGUAGGAGCUUCGUCUAA
Long non-coding RNA from Brassica napus (rape), 1369 nucleotides. RefSeq lists it as uncharacterized. The record is from RefSeq and is a predicted model, not a curated record. NCBI's taxonomy places the organism in Eukaryota, Viridiplantae, Streptophyta, Magnoliopsida, Brassicales, Brassicaceae. The transcript has 5 exons.